GCCUGAGUGACAAGAGUCCCUCCUUUGGCGUUGGAGUUUAAGGAACAGCACAGAACAGUAUUUCCUGUUGCAGAUAUUUGCAUUUCAGGAGUCCUUGCUCUUGACCUGAGGUAGCUUCACUUCUAUCUUUCCUUGCGUGUUACCUGGGUAUCUGCCUAGUUGUGUCUGUACGCAGUACCGGCAGCAUCCAGAAGAGGGCAGAAGAUACCAACCAUUGGAGUCACAGCACAUUGUUAGCUACCAUGUGUUACGGAAAUGGAACCUGGGUCCUCUGGACAGCACUCAGUGCUCUUAUCUGCUGAGCCAACUCUCCAGCCCCUCUUCUUUGAAUUUAAGGUUUACUUUUGUACUUGUUCAUUGAAAUAUAUUGCAUCUCAUACACCCUUCCUUGUCCUCCCUCCUUCCCUUCCCAAAUUCUUCCUUGUCAUGCAUGAGUAAGUACACUCUUAAUAUAUGACUACAA
Molecule: long non-coding RNA, 463 nt
Organism: Mus musculus (house mouse)
Lineage: Eukaryota; Metazoa; Chordata; Mammalia; Rodentia; Muridae
Product: predicted gene, 39188
Exons: 2
Source: RefSeq, a predicted model, not a curated record